CAAUAGCGUAUAUUAAAGUUGUUGCAGUUAAAAAGCUCGUAGUUGGAUUUCUGCUGAGGACGAUCGGUCCGCCCACUGGGUGAGUAUCUGGCUCGGCCUUGGCAUCUUCUUGGAGAACGUUGCUGCACUUGACUGUGUGGCGCGGUAUCCAGGACUUUUACUUUGAGGAAAUUAGAGUGUUUCAAGCAGGCGCACGCCUUGAAUACAUUAGCAUGGAAUAAUGAGAUAGGACCUUGGUUCUAUUUUGUUGGUUUCUAGAGCUGAGGUAAUGAUUAAUAGGGAUAGUUGGGGGCAUUCGUAUUUAACUGUCAGAGGUGAAAUUCUCGGAUUUAUGAAAGACGAACAACUGCGAAAGCAUUUGCCAAGGAUGUUUUCAUUAA
This 380-nucleotide ribosomal RNA is filed under the name uncultured eukaryote. Its description in RNAcentral is "partial 18S ribosomal RNA". It matches the Rfam family "Eukaryotic small subunit ribosomal RNA", at positions 592 to 976 of the family's 1831-position model. The record is from RNAcentral.